Vicia faba (fava bean) is the source of this 282-nucleotide non-coding RNA. Lineage: Eukaryota; Viridiplantae; Streptophyta; Magnoliopsida; Fabales; Fabaceae. The record is from the annotation of a GenBank genome assembly.
AUGGCAGUUUCGGGUUUGAGAAGUGGCGCUUUACCGUUAAGUCAUCAUCACUGUCUUCGUUCACCAUUGGCAUCUCCUUCCUUCCUGAAGCUCAAUAAGUUCAAGGGAUUCACUCUUUUUGCUCGAUAUGCUCAAUCUUAUAAUAUUGAAAAGCUGCCCAAACUUGUGGAAGACAUUGUUCAGACAUCUAUAGAGACAGGUGGACAUAAGAUAGAAGAUUUUAGCAGAGAGAGUAUAGGAGAUAAGGAUGGACACAAGAUAGAAGAUUUUAGUGGUGGUUGA